CACGGAACCAAGAAAAAAAAAAAAAAAAAACAUGUAUAUUAUUACAAAAAGCAUCUAGCUAGGCAAGGUAUCAAAAUAUCAACAAAAUAAAUGCAGGUUCAAAUAUUGAAUGUAAUGUUAUGGCAGUUCUGUGUUUGUUUUUAUACGCCCGUCAAAAUUUUGACUGGACGUAUUAUGGUAUACAAAUGUCCGUCUGUCCGUUUGUCCAUUUGUCUGUCCGGCGUAAACAUGUCGCAUCGUAACUUGAGAACGACUCAUCCAAAUUUCAUGAAACUUAACAUAGUUGUUUUUUAUGAUAAU
This 300-nucleotide long non-coding RNA is filed under the name Mytilus galloprovincialis (Mediterranean mussel). The record is from RNAcentral. Lineage: Eukaryota; Metazoa; Mollusca; Bivalvia; Mytilida; Mytilidae.